GGGGGUGCAACGGCUUCGAUUGCCGGUGAGCGAAAAGAUAAGCAUACUGCGGACGGAGUGGCCGCAUAAAAACAUUCCGCUUAAAUUUAAAUGCAGAUAACAAUGCAGAAUACGCACUUGCUGCGUAAAUUCGUCAGUCACUGACGAUCGUCGCGCCCGGUUUAUCCGUCGGCCGGGGGAGCGGCGUCAAACAGACGGAAAAAUCUUUCCGGAAGAGGAGACGGCCGGCAAGAUCAUUCAGUUUCCUGCGAAGCGCAAAGCGUGUUUACCCGCGUUGUGAAUUUUAAGAAAAAAAGAUAAACUAAGUAUGUAGAAAGUUUUUUGGCAGCCGAGUAAGACGUGAGUUCGACUCUCACCACCUCCACCA
RNAcentral lists this transfer-messenger RNA (367 nucleotides) under Candidatus Scatosoma pullistercoris. It matches the Rfam family "transfer-messenger RNA". From Rfam's summary of the family: Bacterial tmRNA, also known as 10Sa RNA or SsrA, is named for its dual tRNA and mRNA-like properties. The record is from RNAcentral. Lineage: Bacteria; Bacillati; Bacillota; Clostridia.